This 338-nucleotide unclassified non-coding RNA is filed under the name soil metagenome. RNAcentral's name for it is "partial contains 5.8S ribosomal RNA, internal transcribed spacer 2, and large subunit ribosomal RNA". The stretch from base 1 to 120 matches the Rfam family "5.8S ribosomal RNA", at positions 35 to 154 of the family's 154-position model. The record is from RNAcentral.
GAUGAAGAACGCAGCGAAAUGCGAUAAGUAAUGUGAAUUGCAGAAUUCAGUGAAUCAUCGAAUCUUUGAACGCACAUUGCGCCCGCCAGCAUUCUGGCGGGCAUGCCUGUUCGAGCGUCAUUUCAACCCUCAAGCUCUGCUUGGUGUUGGGGCCCUACGGUUGACGUAGGCCCUUAAAGGUAGUGGCGGACCCUCUCGGAGCCUCCUUUGCGUAGUAACUAACGUCUCGCAUUGGAAUUCGGAGGGACUCUUGCCGUAAAACCCCCAAAUUUUCUAAUGGUUGACCUCGGAUCAGGUAGGAAUACCCGCUGAACUUAAGCAUAUCAAUAAGCGGAGGA